GUCGAAUCCCUCUCUUUCC
This 19-nucleotide transfer RNA is filed under the name Radula formosa var. formosa. RNAcentral describes it as "partial tRNA-Ser". Lineage: Eukaryota; Viridiplantae; Streptophyta; Jungermanniopsida; Radulales; Radulaceae. RNAcentral also lists the same sequence under 2 other names. The record is from RNAcentral.